This 72-nucleotide transfer RNA is filed under the name Chlorella vulgaris. Its description in RNAcentral is "tRNA-Asn". Lineage: Eukaryota; Viridiplantae; Chlorophyta; Trebouxiophyceae; Chlorellales; Chlorellaceae. The record is from RNAcentral.
CUCCCCAAGUUGGAUUUGAACCAACGACAAACUGGUUAACAGCCAGCUGCUCUACCACUGAGCUAUUGGAGA